This 251-nucleotide RNase P RNA is filed under the name Candidatus Nanoarchaeia archaeon. Its description in RNAcentral is "RNase P RNA component". It matches the Rfam family "Archaeal RNase P". Rfam says of the family: Ribonuclease P (RNase P) is a ubiquitous endoribonuclease, found in archaea, bacteria and eukarya as well as chloroplasts and mitochondria. Its best characterised activity is the generation of mature 5'-ends of tRNAs by cleaving the 5'-leader elements of precursor-tRNAs. RNAcentral also lists the same sequence under 1 other name. Lineage: Archaea; Nanobdellati; Nanobdellota; Candidatus Nanoarchaeia. The record is from RNAcentral.
GUGCCCGAGCAGGAACUUCCGGUGCCCUUGGGGCACUGAGGAAGCCCAUCCACCGUCUAAACUGCACUCCGUAAGGAGCACCCGAAAUGGGUGGGAAUGGCACAGAAACGGCACCUCCAGACAGGAGCUAUGAUUUCUCAAAGAUUGAGCUGGGAAAGUUUGGAGGUUGAAACGGCCUACCUGCAGGGUGCAAGCCUAUGGGGCGCUAAGACGAAUGUUCCUCUACAGAAGAUGGGCUAUUGCUCGGGCAC